This 263-nucleotide ribosomal RNA is filed under the name uncultured bacterium. Its description in RNAcentral is "partial 16S ribosomal RNA". It matches the Rfam family "Bacterial small subunit ribosomal RNA", at positions 793 to 1055 of the family's 1533-position model. The record is from RNAcentral.
GUCCACGCCCUAAACGAUGGGUACUAGACGUCGGGAAGCUUGUCUUCUUGGUGUCGCAGCUAACGCAAUAAGUACCCCGCCUGGGGAGUACGGUCGCAAGAUUAAAACUCAAAGGAAUUGACGGGGGCCCGCACAAGCGGUGGAGCAUGUGGUUCAAUUCGAUGCAACGCGAAAACCUUAACCUGCCCUUGACAUCCGGGGAAUACUGCAGAGAUGCGGGAGUGCCGCAAGGAACCCCAAGACAGGUGCUGCAUGGCUGUCGU